UUUUAAUUGAAGGCUUGUAUGAAGGGUCGGACAAAGGAUAAACUGUCUUUAAUCUUUCUUUUGAAUUUGUCUUUUAAGUGAAAAGACUUAAAUUAUUUUAAGGGACGAUAAGACCCUAUAAAGCUUUAUAUUAGUAUAAUUUUAUUUUAAUUUUUAAUGUUUAUAAAAAUAGAGGUAUAUAAUAUUAUAUUGGGGUGAUAAGAAUAAUUAAUAAACUGUUCUAUAAAAAACAAAGUUAUUUGUAGAAAUAAUAGAUCCUUUAUAUAGAUUAAAAGUUUAAGUUACUUUAGGGAUAACAGCGUUAUUUUUUUUGAGAGUUCUAAUCGAAAAAAAAGUUUGCGACCUCGAUGUUGAAUUAAAAUUUCUUUAUGGUGUAGCCGUUAUAAGAGAGAGUCUGUUCGACUUUUAAAAUUUUACGUGAUCU
Molecule: ribosomal RNA, 424 nt
Filed under: Galathea platycheles
Lineage: Eukaryota; Metazoa; Arthropoda; Malacostraca; Decapoda; Galatheidae
Also listed under: 2 other names
Description: partial 16S ribosomal RNA
Rfam family: Bacterial large subunit ribosomal RNA (bases 292-424)
Source: RNAcentral